UUUGUGUUGUACAUUAACAAAAAUAAAAUUUCUAAGAAACUAAAUUUAAAUUUAUUGCAGUUUUUGUAAUUGGGUUAGUAUUUAUAUCAUAGCAUAAUUAGAGACUGAUUAAGGUUUUCCCCCUACUCUGUCUUCUAGAAUAAAUUUUAAAUAAUACUUUUAAGAAUGUUCCGUUUUUUCAUGCUUUUUGUUUGUAUAAAUGCUAAUGAUUUAGUAAGUUUCAAUACAGGGAAUUAACUUUGUUAGUUCAGCUCUUAUGUCUGUAGGUUUGUUUUUUCUUCUGUUUUCAUUGCAGAG
This 297-nucleotide long non-coding RNA is filed under the name Bos taurus (domestic cattle). RNAcentral's name for it is "long non-coding RNA NONBTAT007666". The record is from RNAcentral. Lineage: Eukaryota; Metazoa; Chordata; Mammalia; Artiodactyla; Bovidae.